This 558-nucleotide long non-coding RNA is filed under the name Harpegnathos saltator (Jerdon's jumping ant). Its description in RNAcentral is "uncharacterized LOC112590517, transcript variant X2". Lineage: Eukaryota; Metazoa; Arthropoda; Insecta; Hymenoptera; Formicidae. The record is from RNAcentral.
ACAAUAUUACCCAAGAUCAACAGGAGUAUCCGCUUGAAGAAUAUAGAAUAUUUAUUUUAUAAAAACCGAACUCCGAGUUACGCAAAUUCAAUAUUGUAAAAUCCGCGAGUAGAUAUUGUUGCACCUGAUUUAUUGAGGAUUUUACAACAUGUAGAAUCUGGGAGCAGACAUUACUACAUCUGACCUAAAACAUUAAAAAACGCGGGAAAACGUUAAAAAACGCAUUAAAAAUAGCUUUUGGGAGAGCGUGAGCAACAGCUAUAUCAGAGUGCAAUAAAGUAACAUUUCAAGGAUUAUUUAGCGAUUUACAAUUGAUAUGAUUUUUAAAGGUAGCUUACAUUGAUGAGGAGUGCGAAGUAUAUAUAAAAUAAAUAUAUUAUAUAGAAGUUUAGAUUUCAUAAUCACGGCAAUAAUCUGUUGUAACAGCUUUAUUAUGAGAAUACAUAAAAUAAUACAUCUUAAUCCCAAUCAUCAAUCUUAAUUUAUACCAAAGGAGUUGCGUUUUUCUCUCCACGGCGCAAAGGAGGCUCCUGGUAUGUCCUCGCAAGAUAUUAUAGG